RNAcentral lists this long non-coding RNA (370 nucleotides) under Triticum aestivum (bread wheat). Its description in RNAcentral is "long non-coding RNA (TAES_LNC002417)". Lineage: Eukaryota; Viridiplantae; Streptophyta; Magnoliopsida; Poales; Poaceae. The record is from RNAcentral.
CUCCCCUUCACCUCUGACCGGCAGGUCCAUCUCUCUCUCUGUUUGAAAGUGGAACAACAAAUCCUCCUGGUGAUUUGGUUUGGUGUUCAAGAGGAGGCAGAUCUAGAUUUACAUUUGUUUUCUCAUAGUGUUCCAGGCGUAUAACCAUAUAUUGUUGUGAAUUUUAGGUUGCUGCCAUGGAACCAUGUUGACCUGAGCUAUGUGCCACCAUGGUAUCCUGCUCUUUUGUUUGUUUGAUCCAAUUGGUAUCGGUUCGAGUGUGUGAUGGAAUGGAGAUGAAAGAUCGUGACGACACUGACGGUGCACCGCGUCCACAGGUCAGUGGUGCCGCCUCUGGUUUCUUCCCCAUCAAUCCCAGACAUCGCUUGUA